Molecule: ribosomal RNA, 1435 nt
Filed under: uncultured organism
Description: 16S ribosomal RNA
Rfam family: Bacterial small subunit ribosomal RNA
Source: RNAcentral
GCUUAACACAUGCAAGUCGAGGGGCAGCAUUUUAGUUUGCUUGCAAACUGAAGAUGGCGACCGGCGCACGGGUGAGUAACACGUAUCCAACCUACCGAUAACUCCGGAAUAGCCUUUCGAAAGAAAGAUUAAUACCGGAUAGCAUACGAAUAUCGCAUGAUAUUUUUAUUAAAGAAUUUCGGUUAUCGAUGGGGAUGCGUUCCAUUAGUUUGUUGGCGGGGUAACGGCCCACCAAGACUACGAUGGAUAGGGGUUCUGAGAGGAAGGUCCCCCACAUUGGAACUGAGACACGGUCCAAACUCCUACGGGAGGCAGCAGUGAGGAAUAUUGGUCAAUGGGCGAGAGCCUGAACCAGCCAUGUAGCGUGAAGGAUGAAGGCUCUAUGGGUCGUAAACUUCUUUUAUAUGGGAAUAAAGUUUUCCACGUGUGGAAUUUUGUAUGUACCAUAUGAAUAAGGAUCGGCUAACUCCGUGCCAGCAGCCGCGGUAAUACGGAGGAUCCGAGCGUUAUCCGGAUUUAUUGGGUUUAAAGGGAGCGUAGGUGGAUUGUUAAGUCAGUUGUGAAAGUUUGCGGCUCAACCGUAAAAUUGCAGUUGAAACUGGCAGUCUUGAGUACAGUAGAGGUGGGCGGAAUUCGUGGUGUAGCGGUGAAAUGCUUAGAUAUCACGAAGAACUCCGAUUGCGAAGGCAGCUCACUAGACUGUCACUGACACUGAUGCUCGAAAGUGUGGGUAUCAAACAGGAUUAGAUACCCUGGUAGUCCACACAGUAAACGAUGAAUACUCGCUGUUUGCGAUAUACAGUAAGCGGCCAAGCGAAAGCAUUAAGUAUUCCACCUGGGGAGUACGCCGGCAACGGUGAAACUCAAAGGAAUUGACGGGGGCCCGCACAAGCGGAGGAACAUGUGGUUUAAUUCGAUGAUACGCGAGGAACCUUACCCGGGCUUAAAUUGCAACAGAAUAUAUUGGAAACAGUAUAGCCGUAAGGCUGUUGUGAAGGUGCUGCAUGGUUGUCGUCAGCUCGUGCCGUGAGGUGUCGGCUUAAGUGCCAUAACGAGCGCAACCCUUAUCUUUAGUUACUAACAGGUUAUGCUGAGGACUCUAGAGAGACUGCCGUCGUAAGAUGUGAGGAAGGUGGGGAUGACGUCAAAUCAGCACGGCCCUUACGUCCGGGGCUACACACGUGUUACAAUGGGGGGUACAGAAGGCGGCUACCUGGUGACAGGAUGCUAAUCCCAAAAACCUCUCUCAGUUCGGAUCGAAGUCUGCAACCCGACUUCGUGAAGCUGGAUUCGCUAGUAAUCGCGCAUCAGCCAUGGCGCGGUGAAUACGUUCCCGGGCCUUGUACACACCGCCCGUCAAGCCAUGAAAGCCGGGGGUACCUGAAGUACGUAACCGCAAGGAGCGUCCUAGGGUAAAACUGGUAAUUGGGGCUAA